GCCAGCAUGGCAUAGUGGGUUUGAGUGUUGGACUAGGACACCAGGAGACCAGGGUUCGAAUCUCUGCUUCGCCA
Non-coding RNA from Phrynosoma platyrhinos (Desert horned lizard), 74 nucleotides. The record is from the annotation of a GenBank genome assembly. NCBI's taxonomy places the organism in Eukaryota, Metazoa, Chordata, Lepidosauria, Squamata, Phrynosomatidae.